This 182-nucleotide ribosomal RNA is filed under the name uncultured Pseudomonas sp. Its description in RNAcentral is "partial 16S ribosomal RNA". It matches the Rfam family "Bacterial small subunit ribosomal RNA", at positions 338 to 512 of the family's 1533-position model. The record is from RNAcentral. Lineage: Bacteria; Pseudomonadati; Pseudomonadota; Gammaproteobacteria; Pseudomonadales; Pseudomonadaceae.
CCUACGGGAGGCAGCAGUGGGGAAUAUUGGACAAUGGGCGAAAGCCUGAUCCAGCCAUGCCGCGUGUGUGAAGAAGGUCUUCGGAUUGUAAAGCACUUUAAGUUGGGAGGAAGGGUUGUAGAUUAAUACUCUGCAAUUUUGACGUUACCGACAGAAUAAGCACCGGCUAACUCUGUGCCAGC